GACGAACGCUGGCGGCGUGCUUAACACAUGCAAGUCGAACGGUGAAUGGAUCAGCUUGCUGGUUCUGGUUGAUUGGCGAACGGGUGAUUAACACGUGAUUAACCUGCCCCCUUCUUCUGGAUACCCGCAUGAAAGUGUGGCUAAUACGGGAUAUUCUGUGUCUGUCGCAUGGUGGGUCUUGGAAUUAUCUUGUUUCUGUGGUGGAUGGGCUCGCGGCCUAUCAGCUUGUUGGUGUGGUGAUGGCCUACCAAGGCGGGGACGGGUAGCCGGCCGGCGAGGGUGAACGGUGAUACGGGGACUGAGACACGGACAAGAGGACUACGGGACGCAGCAGUGGGGAACAGGGCGCAAGGGGGGGAAGCAUGAUGCAGCGACGCAGAGUGAGGGAGGGAGGCGUUCGGGUUGUAAACCUCUUCCGCGAGUGAAGAAGGCCUGCUACUUGUGAGGGGGAUGACGGUAGCUGGAGAAGAAGCGCCGGCUAACUACGUG
RNAcentral lists this ribosomal RNA (489 nucleotides) under uncultured bacterium. Its description in RNAcentral is "partial 16S ribosomal RNA". It matches the Rfam family "Bacterial small subunit ribosomal RNA", at positions 28 to 507 of the family's 1533-position model. The record is from RNAcentral.